Long non-coding RNA from Carassius carassius (crucian carp), 570 nucleotides. RefSeq lists it as uncharacterized. NCBI's taxonomy places the organism in Eukaryota, Metazoa, Chordata, Actinopteri, Cypriniformes, Cyprinidae. The record is from RefSeq and is a predicted model, not a curated record. The transcript has 3 exons.
ACAUUGCCCUUCCUGUAACAUGAUGAUCCUGCUGUCCUGGACUGUAUAUGAUGAGCCUACACAUAAUCUCAGAACAGCUGUGGUAAUAACAGGAGACCCAUUUGGUGAGAGCAGCACUGCAGACCUUCCUGAUGGAGGAGAUCAUGGACCAUUUUCACAAGACUAAUGAUGUGUUUCAGCUGUGUUUUCAUCGUAAACCCUCACAAUGUUUGUAUAUUUUGAAUUUAAAAAAAUGAUGUGCAUUAGUUACACUAUACUUUGUAUUAUAUCACAUUCGUAUCAAAUUACAGAAAAGAAAUAGUUAAUGCUAAUGCAAGGGUGUUUCUAAUCCUAAUCCAGAGUCUUUGGGAGGAAUGCUAAAUUUGACAUUGUUCUCUCUUCUGACUGCUGUUAUCAGUGUCUGUCAGAUUUUUUCCUUUGAUUGAAAGUUGUGAAAAUGCUAUUGUAGAGUUUUUCAUUUUGCUAUUUGAGUAAAUGAGAAUGCAAAAAUAUAUAUUUGUGAUACUCUCCCAUUCACUGCUCUCGAAGUUAACCCAACUAUAACAACUUCCGCUGCUGAGAAACUGGUUU